RNAcentral lists this ribosomal RNA (492 nucleotides) under uncultured bacterium. RNAcentral describes it as "partial 16S ribosomal RNA". It matches the Rfam family "Bacterial small subunit ribosomal RNA", at positions 29 to 507 of the family's 1533-position model. The record is from RNAcentral.
AGUGAACGCUGGCGGUAGGCCUAACACAUGCAAGUCGAACGGCAGCACAGUAAGAGCUUGCUCUUACGGGUGGCGAGUGGCGGACGGGUGAGGAAUACAUCGGAAUCUACUUUUUCGUGGGGGAUAACGUAGGGAAACUUACGCUAAUACCGCAUACGACCUACGGGUGAAAGCAGGGGAUCUUCGGACCUUGCGCGAUUGAAUGAGCCGAUGUCGGAUUAGCUAGUUGGCGGGGUAAAGGCCCACCAAGGCGACGAUCCGUAGCUGGUCUGAGAGGAUGAUCAGCCACACUGGAACUGAGACACGGUCCAGACUCCUACGGGAGGCAGCAGUGGGGAAUAUUGGACAAUGGGCGCAAGCCUGAUCCAGCCAUACCGCGUGGGUGAAGAAGGCCUUCGGGUUGUAAUGCCCUUUUGUUGGGAAAGAAGAGCAGCAGGUUAAUACCCCGCUGUUCUGACGGUACCCAAAGAAUAAGCACCGGCUAACUUCGUG